Molecule: ribosomal RNA, 259 nt
Filed under: uncultured bacterium
Lineage: Bacteria
Description: partial 16S ribosomal RNA
Rfam family: Bacterial small subunit ribosomal RNA
Source: RNAcentral
GAUCCUGGCUCAAGAUGAACGCUAGCUACAGGCUUAACACACGCAAGUCGAGGGGCAUCAGUUUGGUUUGCUUGCAAACCAAAGCUGGCGACCGGCGCACGGGUGAGUAACACGUAUCCAACCUGCCUCAUACUCGGGGAUAGCCUUUCGAAAGAAAGAUUAAUAUCCGAUAGCAUAUAUUUCCCGCAUGGGUUUUAUAUUAAAGAAAUUCGGUAUGAGAUGGGGAUGCGUUCCAUUAGUUUGUUGGGGGGGUAACCGG